This is a non-coding RNA of Paramormyrops kingsleyae, 784 nucleotides long. The record is from RefSeq and is a predicted model, not a curated record. NCBI's taxonomy places the organism in Eukaryota, Metazoa, Chordata, Actinopteri, Osteoglossiformes, Mormyridae.
AGUUUGGUAAAUUAGCUAUACUUGCUAUAUUUUUAGCUGUACUUCUUGGAGGGAAAUCGCUUAGCACAGGGGUGCCCAAUACGUCGAUCGCGAACGACCGGUAGAUCGCGAAGGUAGUGCGGGCAGAUAGCGCGACAUUCAAAAACAUUUGGGCGGCCAGUUUGCUGUUGCUUAAUUAAAACUUUAUUACAAUAGGUUACCAUAACAUCUACUUAGAUCCCUUCUCUUCUAACGUAUCUUUGAUCACAUGGGUCACCAGGGAGAAAACGCAAAUGUAUUGUGAGCUAAUGCAAAGGACCAGAAGAUACUUGUUACUGGCCACCAGGAAAAGUCAGUAUCAGCAAGGCAGCGAAGGAAGACAUUUUUCCGAGUACGGACUGGCCACAGUUUAAAGUGCGUGUCUUGGGAAAAGCAGAACAAAACUUUUGAAGUCUGAGGGGAACUCAGACCAGCACACAAAGUCAGAAUCUGGAGGAGGAAUGGUGAAAGGGAAGCGGAGAAGGAGGUGGCUUGAAAAAAAUGCUCUUACAAGCAACAUUACAAGAAAGGACGGUGUCAAAGUAGCUAAUUGUUGCCCAGGACAGGGGAGGGAAUCGAAUUGCGAGGACCCGAGGUGGUGACCAAGAUUGGUAAGUGUCAAGCUUAAUUUUAAAUGAAAACAUAAAGUCAAGUCAAGUUUAUUUAUAAAGCACUUUAAAAACAACAAUAACAGCUGACCAAAGUGCUGGACAAGCAUGGAAAUACGACCUAGUAGACAAAUGGAGAGGACGACACAAAAUAAAAC